This is a non-coding RNA of Oceanithermus profundus DSM 14977, 352 nucleotides long. It matches the Rfam family "transfer-messenger RNA". Rfam says of the family: Bacterial tmRNA, also known as 10Sa RNA or SsrA, is named for its dual tRNA and mRNA-like properties. Its role is to liberate the mRNA from a stalled ribosome. The record is from Rfam. NCBI's taxonomy places the organism in Bacteria, Thermotogati, Deinococcota, Deinococci, Thermales, Thermaceae.
GGGGGCGAUCCUGGGUUCGACGGGGGCCCUUGAAGGUGAGGCUGCGAGCCGAGGUGCCGGAGGCCUCGUAAAACACCGGCAACGCCAAUAACUGGCAACGAUAACUACGCUCUGGCGGCUUAACCCCGCCACGUCCCUGUCAAGCCCGGCCGGUGGCUCGGGCAGCGGACGACACUAAAGCCGGCUAGCCAAGGGCGAGGCUCCGUAACCCGAGGCGAAAUUCCACGGAGCUGGGUCCUGACCGCCCGUCCGCGGGCCAAGGCAGGACCGAGAACCUGAAACGCGGACUACGCUCGUAGACGCCCACUGGAUAGGCUCUCGGACGCGGGUUCGAGUCCCGCCGCCUCCACCA